UCAACGGAGAGUUUGAUCCUGGCUCAGGACGAACGCUGGCGGCGUGCUUAACACAUGCAAGUCGAACGCUGAAGCACCAGCUUGCUGGUGUGAAUGAGUGGCGAACGGGUGAGUAAUACGUGAGUAACCUGCCCUUGACUCUGGGAUAAGCCCGGGAAACUGGGUCUAAUACUGGAUGCUACAUGUCACCGCAUGGUGGUGUGUGGAAAGGGUUUACUGGUCUUGGAUGGGCUCACGGCCUAUCAGCUUGUUGGUGAGGUAAUGGCUCACCAAGGCGACGACGGGUAGCCGGCCUGAGAGGGUGACCGGCCACACUGGGACUGAGACACGGCCCAGACUCCUACGGGAGGCAGCAGUGGGGAA
Molecule: ribosomal RNA, 363 nt
Filed under: Kocuria palustris
Lineage: Bacteria; Bacillati; Actinomycetota; Actinomycetes; Micrococcales; Micrococcaceae
Description: bacterial SSU rRNA
Rfam family: Bacterial small subunit ribosomal RNA
Source: RNAcentral